Molecule: long non-coding RNA, 1246 nt
Filed under: Marmota monax (woodchuck)
Lineage: Eukaryota; Metazoa; Chordata; Mammalia; Rodentia; Sciuridae
Source: RNAcentral
GAAAUAUUCCAUUACAUAGACCUACUGUGCUUUGCUUUCCAUUCACUAUUGAAGGAUAUGUGGGUUCUUUGUAGGUGUUGUGGAUUGUGAAUAGAGCUGCUAGAAAAUAUUUGCAUACUUUUUUUGUGUACUUAAGUUUUCCUUUCUCCAGGACAGUUUUUUUUUGUUUUGUUUUAACUUCAAUAUUAUUAACACUUUGGGGUGGAGAAUUCUUUUGUUUUGGGGGACUCUCCUGUGCAUUAUAGGGUGUUUAGUAGCAUCCCCGGUCUCACCUCCCCAGAUAUCAUUCUUUCCCUCCAAGUGUGACAACAAAAAAUGUUUCUGGGUAUUGUCAAAUUUCCCCUGGGGUGUGGAAGGGGGAAAAUUUCCCUGGCUGAUACUACUUUAGUGUGAACCUGCUAGUGACAAAUGCCAUCUAUUAUCUUAAAAAAACUUAGAUCUAACAUUUCUGAAAUUAUGUUUCUCUGGAUAUAGAAUUCUAAUUUGGAAAUCGGGUAUGGUGGUACACCUCUGUAAUUCCAGCUACUCAGGAAGUGGAGGCAGGAGGAUUGCAAGUUUGAGCCCAGCCUGGAAAAUUUAACAAGACCUCAUCUCAAAAUUUUAAAAAAGGGGCUGGGGAUGUAGGUCAGUGGUAAAAUGGCUUGUGUUCAAUAUCCAGUACCUGUCCCUCCCCCAAUCUUAUUUUGGUUUAUGGUUCUGGAGACUGGAAAGUUCAUGAUCAGGUGACCACUCUGGUGAGGGCUUUGUUUAUCUCUCUAUUCAUUCUUUCUAUGAAUCUAUUACUAAAUCCAUACAUGGAUGUCUUAAUUUCAUUGCUUAUAAUUAGUUAUAGAAAGUUUUAUAGCUUCAAUAUUUUACUAAAAUCCACUUUCUUAUAUUCAUUCUUUAAAAAUAUUAAACCUCAGAAGCAAUUAACAGUUCUUGUUGGACAGUAGCCCCAGGUACCAGGCACAUCCAUUUGUGCUUCCUUCCUCUCCCAAAUGGUAGUCCCACAAUUCUUCACUGUCUUGGUAGCACUCUGAUACUUCAAAUGCUUUUUAAAUCUAUAUACUUUUGUCCAGCUUUUCUGUUCCCAGUGGUAAGGUGGUCUCAGCAACUUAUUAGGAAUUACCGGAAGACUAGAGACUUGCUUUUUAAAUGCAUACAAUAUAAGACAACUGUUCCUGUUUGUAAAAAGUCAUUGCCAUGGACAAAAUAUGGGGAGGAAACUCUUCUAUAUUAAAAGAGGCUUAAAAGUCAUAACAAC